RNAcentral lists this unclassified non-coding RNA (1346 nucleotides) under uncultured fungus. RNAcentral's name for it is "sequence contains 18S rRNA gene, ITS1, 5.8S rRNA gene, ITS2, 28S rRNA gene". The stretch from base 391 to 1346 matches the Rfam family "Eukaryotic large subunit ribosomal RNA", at positions 1 to 961 of the family's 3401-position model. Lineage: Eukaryota; Fungi. The record is from RNAcentral.
GGAAGGAUCAUUCACGCCAAUUAUUCUUCUUGCCAGUGGCUUCGGCUGCUGGCAGAAAACCUAAACAAAAAUAAAAAAAACUAAAUUUUCAACGAUGGAUAUCUAGGUUCCCAUAUCGAGGAAGAACGCAGCUAACUGCGAUAAGCAAUGCGAAUUGCAGAAUCCGCGAGUCAUCAGAUUUUCGAACGCAACCGGCGUUGUGGGUUAAUUACCUGCAGCAAGUUUGCUUCAGUCUUAUUGAUUAUUACAAAUCAAAAUGCGAUUGAACUCCGGUUCUCUCGUCAAACGUGAAUACGACGUAUUCCAACCCAGUGAAGCAGUCACGUUCACGUGAUUUCGCUGGCUCUUGGACUAUGGACAGUAUCGAGACGCUAGUCUUUCACGAUAAUCAAAGCUGAAGUCAAGCUAGACUACCCGCUGAACUUAAGCAUAUUAAUAAGCGGAGGAAAAGAAAUCAACUGAGAUUCCCUUAGUAGUGGCGAACGAACAGGGAAGAGUCCAAGCUGUAAAUCUUCGUGCUUCGUGCGAAGAGUUGUAAGCUCAAGAUUUAGCUCUAAAACCUGAACAGGCGAAUAACUUACUUGGAACAGUAGGGCAAAGAGGGUGAAACCCCCGUAUUCGUUGCUUGGGAGGGUGAAAGACUGGAUCACAGAGUCGGGUAGCUUGGGAUUGCUGCCUUAAUUGGGUGAUAUACUUCAUCUAAGACUAAAUAUGGAUGGGAAACCGAUAGUGAACAAGUACUGUGAAGGAAAGAUGAAAAGAACUUUGAAAAGAGGGUUAAAAGACUUGAAAUCGUUGAGAAGGAAGGUAAGGAAGCUGGCCAAUGUAGGUGAUGCUUUACGCAAGCGAAGGCGGACGGUUUCCUCAAAAGGACCUGAAGCUGUAGCCGAGGAAGAGCCUCUCCCUGCUGAAGACAAGAUCAUGUUCGACGCUGUUGAAAGGUACGUUGUCUACCGUCAAACGUAGCUGCGUACUUACGCACUGACGAGCAUGAGGGGCUUUUGCGAUCUUGUCGAAACGGCUUUCUUACAACCGUCUUGAAACACGGACCAAGGAGUCAAUCACAUAUGCGAGUUUGCGGGUGAAAAACCCAUAGGCGAAAUGAAAGUGAAUAUAAGGUGCCAAGGUGUAACAGCCAGCAGCAUCAGCCGCCGUUGAUCUUCUGUGAAACGCGUGAGUAAGAGCAUAUUUGAUUGGACCCGAAAGAUGGUGAACUAUGCUUGAGUAGGGUGAAGCCAGGAGAAAUUCUGGUGGAGGCUCGAAGCGGUACUGACGUGCAAAUCGUUUCGUCAAACUUGAGUAUAGGGGCGAAAGACUAAUCGAACCAUCUAGUAGCUGGUUCCCUC